RNAcentral lists this small nuclear RNA (139 nucleotides) under Pteropus vampyrus (large flying fox). RNAcentral describes it as "U1 spliceosomal RNA (ENSPVAG00000029632.1)". Lineage: Eukaryota; Metazoa; Chordata; Mammalia; Chiroptera; Pteropodidae. The record is from RNAcentral.
CCACUUACCUGGCAGGGGAGAUAGUACGAUCACAAAGGUGGUUUUCACAAGGCAAGGCGUGUCCAUUGCAUGGCAGUCUUGAGCAAGCCAUGGGCCUCCCCUACAUCUACAGAAAAUGAUGAAUAGGUGAUUUCUCCUC